This 253-nucleotide ribosomal RNA is filed under the name uncultured bacterium. RNAcentral describes it as "partial 16S ribosomal RNA". It matches the Rfam family "Bacterial small subunit ribosomal RNA", at positions 524 to 776 of the family's 1533-position model. The record is from RNAcentral.
UACAGAGGAGCCAAGCGUUGUCCGGAUUGACUGGGCGUAAAGCGCACGCAGGCGGACGCGCGCGUGGGGUGUGAAAUCUGGCCGCUUAACGGCCAGGCGCCAUCCCAUACGGCGCGACUGGAGUGAUGCAGAGGUCGAUGGAAUUGCCGGUGUAGUGGUGAAAUGCGUAGAGAUCGGCAGGAACACCCAGGGGGAAACCAGGCGACUGGGCAUCUACUGACGCUGAGGUGCGAGAGCGUGGGGAGCGAACCGG